This 254-nucleotide ribosomal RNA is filed under the name uncultured bacterium. RNAcentral describes it as "partial 16S ribosomal RNA". It matches the Rfam family "Bacterial small subunit ribosomal RNA", at positions 524 to 776 of the family's 1533-position model. The record is from RNAcentral.
UACGAAGGGGGCUAGCGUUGCUCGGAAUCACUGGGCGUAAAGCGCACGUAGGCGGGUCGCUAAGUCGGGGGUGAAAUCCUGGGGCUCAACUCCAGAACUGCCUUCGAUACUGGCGAUCUUGGAGUCCGGGAGAGGUGAGUGGAACUCCGAGUGUAGAGGUGAAAUUCGUAGAUAUUCGGAAGAACACCAGUGGCGAAGGCGGCUCUCUGGCCCGGUACUGACGCUGAGGUGCGAAAGCGUGGGGAGCAAACAGG